Pecten maximus is the source of this 2487-nucleotide long non-coding RNA. RefSeq lists it as uncharacterized. NCBI's taxonomy places the organism in Eukaryota, Metazoa, Mollusca, Bivalvia, Pectinida, Pectinidae. The record is from RefSeq and is a predicted model, not a curated record. The transcript is spliced from 2 exons.
GUAGAGCCCAACACAGACUGGAGGGUAGGGUAGGGCCCAACACAGACUGGAGGGUAGGGUAGGGAUCUAGGGAACCACUUGGGCCUUUUCCUGUAUUCCAGGUCAUAUUGUAAUGUAAAUAUUAACUCAUUAGCUGAGUAUUUACUAUAAAGAAAAGGAAAUUGUUUUUAGUACAAAUUAUUUUUGUGACUAACCACAUUAGAAUUACAAGACUAGAUAUUAUUAUAGUUCACCCUACUAAAGAUAUCAUCAAAUUAAUCAUCAUCACAUCAUUUUCAGGUAUUUUACAGACUAUGUCUACAGUCUGUUUGAUUUAUGUCCUGUUUUUAUCAUUAUUUAUUUAUCAAAUUUUUGUUGUAAAUUAAUAUGUAGACAAAAUGUAAAUAUUAGUUUUCAGGAAUAUUUUUAUGUAUUUUUUCAAUCCUAAAAUUAUUACAACUACUAUUUGUAUUAAUAUUUCAAAGUGAUGCAAAAGGAAGAUGUUUGGUUUUCCUAAAGAAAAAUCUUGCAUGCAAUCUCAAAAUUAUUCUAAAGUAAGAAAAAUAUCCUGAAGUUUGUUUUUGAGGCACUUGUGGUAUCUUAUUUUUGUUUUUAUGGGUGUGUAUAUUUAACAUACAUGCUAUGUUUAGAAAGCAUUACACAUUUGUGAAUUGUUUACUAAGAGUAACAAUAUCAAUAUUGAUGCAUAGUACUGGCUUAUCUGCAUUUUUUCCCCAUUAAAAUGGUUUAAAUUAAUUAAGCAUUGAUGUAAUUUUUUUAUAGUUUCAUCGGGGUAUGAAAAAAAAAUUGUUUGCAAACUGUAUGAAUCCGCGUUGAUUUUUAGCCCACGUUUUUCGCGCCAUUCUCGGAAUUUUUUUCAUAGUGGUAUGAAAAAAAAAUCUCAACCUAUCAGAAAGCCGCACCCUGCGUACAAACGAAGGAAAAUUAAUUAUUGUAUAAUGUGUUUAAUUUUUGAAAGAUAAGUUUCUUAAGAAAUAUCUUAAGAUUUAUUUUAUGAAUUUGUUUUGGUAAUUCAUAGUGAUACAAAGAUUGUUUGAAUUUUGAUAAAAAAAAUGUACCAUUGCAAUCUCAAAUAAUGUUUAGUUUAUACAUUUUAUUAGCUCACCUGAGCCGAAGGCUCAUGUGAGCUUUUGCUAUGGGGUAUCAUCCGGCGUCCGGCGUGCGUCGUCGGUCUUCGAUCGUCCGUCGUCCGUUAACUUUUUUUAACCGAGAGUGUUGAAAUUCGCAUUGAAUGAUUGGUUAGAAGGUCCUGACUAGAUAUUUGUAUUCAUUAAGUGAAAAUAAAAUUCAAGAUGGCUGCCAUGAUCGCCAUCUUUGAAAUUAUGUUUUGCCUUAUAACUCCAAUAUUAUUUGCUUCGUUGUAAGAAAUGUUCUAGUGACAUUUCUGAAUAAGAGGUCACUGUGACCUAUUUUUCAAUAAUUACAUUAGGGCAAUGAAAAUGGACAUCUAGGAUGAGAAAGGCAUGCCGAUAACAAAUAUUGCAAAAUUAGGCCACUGUGACCUACUUUUCAAUAAUUACAUUAGGGCAAUAGAAAUGGACAUCUAAGAUGAGAAAGGCAUUGAUUUCUGUUCGAAGUUUGACUAUCAUUUGUUUGAUUUUAUUAGAAUUAAUUCUUUGUUAAUAUUAUCAGAAUGGGAUGACAGCUUAAUGGUAUGCAUAUGUUAGCCCUGUCUGACCCCUUGGACUGAUGGGUGGGGCAAAAAAUGUUCAAUUAAAUUAACUGAAAUAUUUCAAAUCUCAGGUGACCAUGGGCCUCUUGUUAUGUUAUGGAGCUAUAACACAAGAGAUUGUGUAUAGUAGAUCAUAUUAUAAGGAUUAACUUGAAUAUAUUCUCAUGUUAUUGAGCUAUAACAUAAGUGAUUGUGUAUAGUAGAUUUCAUUAUAAUGAUUGAGUGUUCUGUCAUUAAAUCACUUCACAGUUUAAGAAGAGUUCACUGUUUUUUGUUGUUAAUGAAGUUUAUCAUCAAAUGAAGUAUUUUUGUUUAUUUUUUCAAUGCGUUAUAAGUUUAUUCAAAAGAAUGACCUUGACAUUUUUAAGGUCAAAGAGGUCAAAUGUAUUAAAAUCUCAUAAUUCAGUGUUACUAACGGUAAUACUAUUUUGCCUGGAGCAAACUAGAGUUGUGGGCUACUAAUGUUGUAAGAAUGUUAACCUUGACAUAUAAAUAAUAUAUAAAUAAGGUUACUAAGGUCAAAAUUUAGAAGUUAUACAUUUAUAGCCAUGUUCUGUACUAUAUAGUGAGAAAACCUCAAACUGAAGGUGGAGUCUUCAGGGGUCAAAUUGAUGAAAGUGUCGACAGAAUACUUCUUUAUAUUGUAUUUCACCAUGUAUUGUGUUGUGUUGUUAAUUUAUUUUUAUAUAAAUGAAAUCGUGACAUUGAUGUACAGCUAUAUAUGUUAUUGAUGUGUUUACCUCCUUCUGUAUAAAAUUACUAUUUGUUGAUUCUUUAUUUAAGAGAACAAAUAAAGAAUUAAAACUAAAACACUA